RNAcentral lists this ribosomal RNA (738 nucleotides) under uncultured bacterium. Its description in RNAcentral is "bacterial SSU rRNA". It matches the Rfam family "Bacterial small subunit ribosomal RNA", at positions 88 to 812 of the family's 1533-position model. The record is from RNAcentral.
AAAGCGAGCGGCGGAUGGGUGAGUAACACGUGGGGAACCUGCCCCUAAGUCUGGGAUACCAUUUGGAAACAGGUGCUAAUACCGGAUAAUAAAGCAGAUCGCAUGAUCAGCUUUUGAAAGGCGGCGUAAGCUGUCGCUAAGGGAUGGCCCCGCGGUGCAUUAGCUAGUUGGUAAGGUAACGGCUUACCAAGGCGACGAUGCAUAGCCGAGUUGAGAGACUGAUCGGCCACAUUGGGACUGAGACACGGCCCAAACUCCUACGGGAGGCAGCAGUAGGGAAUCUUCCACAAUGGACGCAAGUCUGAUGGAGCAACGCCGCGUGAGUGAAGAAGGUUUUCGGAUCGUAAAGCUCUGUUGUUGGUGAAGAAGGAUAGAGGUAGUAACUGGCCUUUAUUUGACGGUAAUCAACCAGAAAGUCACGGCUAACUACGUGCCAGCAGCCGCGGUAAUACGUAGGUGGCAAGCGUUGUCCGGAUUUAUUGGGCGUAAAGCGAGCGCAGGCGGAAAAAUAAGUCUAAUGUGAAAGCCCUCGGCUUAACCGAGGAACUGCAUCGGAAACUGUUUUUCUUGAGUGCAGAAAAGGAGAGUGGAACUCCAUGUGUAGCGGUGGAAUGCGUAGAUAUAUGGAAGAACACCAGUGGCGAAGGCGGCUCUCUGGUCUGCAACUGACGCUGAGGCUCGAAAGCAUGGGUAGCGAACAUGAUUAGAUACCCUGGUAUUCCAUGCCGUAAACGAUGA